This 406-nucleotide ribosomal RNA is filed under the name uncultured bacterium. RNAcentral describes it as "partial 16S ribosomal RNA". It matches the Rfam family "Bacterial small subunit ribosomal RNA", at positions 29 to 526 of the family's 1533-position model. The record is from RNAcentral.
AUUGAACGCUGGCGGCAGGCCUAACACAUGCAAGUCGAGCGAGCGGCGGACGGGUGAGUAAUGUCUGGGAAACUGCCUGAUGGAGGGGGAUAACUACUGGAAACGGUAGCUAAUACCGCAUACCAUCAGAUUUGCCCAGAUGGGAUUAGCUAGUCGUGGGGGUAACGGCUAACCUAGGCGACUAUCCCUAGCUGGUCUGAGAGGAUGACCAGCCAAACGGGAACGGAGACACGGGCCAGACGCCUACGGGAGGCAGCAGUGGGGAAUAUUGCACAAUGGGCGAAAGCCUGAUGCAGCCAUGCCGCGUGUGGGAAGAAGGCCUUCGGGUUGUAAAGCACUUUCAGCGGGGAGGCGUUACCCGCAGAAGAAGCACCGGCUAACUCCGUGCCAGCAGCCGCGGUAAUUC